GACGAACGCUGGCGGCGUGCUUAACACAUGCAAGUCGAACGGAAAGGCCCUGCUUUUGUGGGGUGCUCGAGUGGCGAACGGGUGAGUAACACGUGAGUAACCUGCCCUUGACUUUGUGAUAACUUCAGGAAACUGGGGCUAAUACCGGAUAUGAGCUCCUGCUGCAUGGUGGUGGUUGGAAAGUUUCGGCGGUUGGGGAUGGACUCGCGGCUUAUCAGCUUGUUGGUGGGGUAGUGGCUUACCAAGGAUUUGACGGGUAGCCGGCCUGAGAGGGUGACCGGCAACAUAGGGACUGAGAUACGGCGCAGACUCGUAAGGGAGGCAGCAGUGGGGAAUAUUGCACAAUGGGCGGAAGCCUGAUGCAGCAACGACGCGUGCGGGAUGACGGCCUUCGGGUUGUAAACCGAUUUCGCCUGUGACGAAGCGUGAGUGACGGUAAUGGGUAAAGAAGCACCGGCUAACUACGUG
Molecule: ribosomal RNA, 468 nt
Filed under: uncultured bacterium
Lineage: Bacteria
Description: partial 16S ribosomal RNA
Rfam family: Bacterial small subunit ribosomal RNA
Source: RNAcentral